AACCCGACCCCACGAAGCUGGAUUCGCUAGUAAUCGCGCAUCAGCCAUGGCGCGGUGAAUACGUUCCCGGGCCUUGUACACACCGCCCGUCAAGCCAUGGGAGCCGGGAGUGCCUGAAGGCCGUGACCGCAAGGAGCGGCCUAAGGUAAAACUGGUGACUGGGGCUAAGUCGUAACAAGGUAUC
Molecule: ribosomal RNA, 184 nt
Filed under: uncultured bacterium
Lineage: Bacteria
Description: partial 16S ribosomal RNA
Rfam family: Bacterial small subunit ribosomal RNA
Source: RNAcentral